Molecule: long non-coding RNA, 4594 nt
Organism: Hydra vulgaris (swiftwater hydra)
Lineage: Eukaryota; Metazoa; Cnidaria; Hydrozoa; Anthoathecata; Hydridae
Source: RefSeq, a predicted model, not a curated record
GGUUAUUGUAAUACUUUUAACUCAUUUAAAAGAUAUUUUUUGAAAUAAAAAAGUAAAUAUUUAGCACAUAAUAAAAUCCACGCUCUACUACUUUUCCCUAACCAUAUUUUUAAAGGUCAUCCAAUCUUUGGCUAUUCAAAGCCACUCUCUGAUGUGCAACUGCCAACAGAACUAAAUGUCAUGCGGCAUAUGGUGUAUUUAAAGGAAAAUAAUCAUAAUAUGAAUAAACAAAAGAAAAAUCAAUACUUGAGGGAAUGGCGCCAAAGUAAUCAAGCCUUAAUUAAGAUCAUAAAGAUACUUCUGAAACUGAGAGUUCUGAUCUAGACUCUGAGGGACCUAUGAAUGAUGAUAAUGAAGAUCUUAAUGAUGGAGUACUUGUUACAGAGAUUGCUAAAUGGAUUUUAAAAUAUUGAAUAACUAGAAAUAUAAGUGAUGAACUGUUAUUUUUAAUUUUACACCUGUAUGGUCAUCAUAAUGAUUUACCAAAAUGCACAAAAGGAAUUUUAAAUACUCCUAGGAAUGUUCCAAGUGAAUCAAAAGUGGAGGUGAAUAUGUUUAUCUUGGUAUUUCAAACAGCAUGUCAAGAACUUUAGCAGUCAACUAGCAUUAUAGAUUUGAGUCAAAUACAAUUUUUCUAGUUGUCAGUGUAGAUGGUAUUCCCUUAUUCAAGUCAUCAAACACACAGGCCUAUAUUAUUUAUGUUUGACAAAGGGAAACCAUUUAUUGUAUCAUUAUUUGUUGGUGAUAACAAGCCAAAUAAUUGUGAUGAUUUUUAUAUGAUUUUUUGCAUGAGUAUGAGUUAUUAUUGGCAAAUAGUUUUCAGUAUAAUUCAUAUAACUUUGAUUGCAUCUUGAGAAAAAUUGUUGUAAAUGUGCUAAUAAAACGUCAGGAAGUGUAAGCGUAACCACUUUUGAAAGAUUGAGUCCCUUGAAGAGUUUUAUGAACUUGAAACCAAAUUAAAAGACAACCAGGAGUACUCUUUGUCACCUCAAGAAAGCAUGUGAAAAAAAUGUUAAAGAAAAUACAAAAAAUGUUAUGGUCAGGUAUGCAUUUUUGUUUAACUCUGGAUAAUCAAACCGUUUAAAUUGUGAGUAAAUUUAAUAGAAAAAUCUAUCCCAAGGAAAGUAAUUUAAAAAAACAAACAAUUUAAUAAAAAUGUUGGGGAGAACCUUGAUGAAUGGAAUGCUGUUGAAUGGGACAAAAUCAAAUUUGCAUACAAGCAUCUAAGGUUAAUUGGUAAAUAAACUCCUGUGGUAAGAAAUGUUAAACACAACAAUUCAACAGACCAAAUCAUUACUCUAUCAUGGCCUAAACAUGAUGGGCCAAACAUAACAUUAAAACUGUUGCAUAAAUGGGAAUUAAUAGCACAUUUCUCCUGGCAGAACAAACAAUUUUCAAUGUAUAAAUUAGACAAUUUUAUCAACUUUAAAAAAGUCUUUUACAAAAACUGCCCCAUUCAUUUAGGUUCUCCCCUACAGGUUUCAGCUUUAAUUCGAUAUCGAAACUUUGAAUAUAAAUUAUUUAUAAAAAAGUAAAGAACCUUUCAAAAUUAUACUUUGUGAAUUAUUACUCUAAUGUGUGUUUACAAUUAAUUAAAUAAGUUCGCUGGAUUGAUUGAUGUAGUAUAACCAAGUAGUUAUUUUUUAUUUAUUAUUUUUUAUUACGUUUUUACAGAAUUAUUGAGCAUCAUGUUAAGCCCAAAUAUGUUGAAUAUGUAAAGCAAAAUUCGAGGUGACAUAAAGAAGGUAUUAUUCGAAGAUAAAAAGUUGUGUAAAACAAUAAUUGGUACGUUAAUAACACAGGCCAACAGCUAUUUUGGUGCCGGGGUACUUGUAGCAAAUUUUAUAUAAGUUUGAUGCCCUGAACUCAAAUGUAUCGUUAGAUAUUACCAAUCAGCUCGCAUUUUUGAGAUCAUUUUAAUGAAAUAAGAAGCGCCAAUGAAGGGGCUAGGGGGCGAUGGCUUCUUUACCCUAAAAACCAAAAAAUUUUUAUACCUUUUAUGAAAAUGGUUUUUAUCUAUUUGAAAAGGAUUUUGAUUAGGAUCAAAUUAACAAAAUAAACAUGAAAUUUUGAUUAAAUUUUGAUUAUUAUGCUAUAGAAAUGUAUAACUAUAUGGUAUAUUACACUCUAUUAUAUAUAUAGUUGUUAUAUGUAAAGACAAAAGAAAAAAUAUUUAUGAAACAAACUAUAGUCACUAAACAACCCAGAAACUUUUUUUCCGUGACAUUCUUGAAUGUAUUUUAGAACAACUUCUUUUUAAAUUCCAGCAGUAAUCCUCCAUAGUUUUAAUAUCUUCCUGAUCCUCCAUAGUUUUAAUAUCUUGGUGAAAUCUUUCACCUUGCUCCUCACUCAUAUCUCCUAAGUUUUUAGGAAAACGAUCUAAAUGGCUGUGUAAAUAGUGCACCUUAAUACUCAUAUUACAUCUGAGGGAUUUGAAACUGCUAAGCAUGUCGUCAACCAGUUUAACAUAGUUUUCAUCUUUGCGUUUGCCCAGAAAAUUUCUGACAACUGCAACAAAUGAAGUCCAAGCCUUUCGCUCAGUUUCAUUCAUUGAAUUCACAAAGGCAGAGUCAUUAAUAAAUUGUCUUAUUUUCGGACCAUCAAAUAUUCUUAUUUGCAGACAUCAAAUAAGGCCCAGCUUGAUAUGCAGUAGAGGAAAAAGGAUUUUAUCUCGUUCAACUAAGGCGUUGUUAAUUAAAUUAUUUUUCCAAACUUCCAUAUUUUUUCUCUUAGGCCAUUCUUUUUUAGUCCAGUGGUGUGUUUUGUCCCUGCUAUCCCAGAGACACAAAAUGCAAGGAUAUUUAGUGUAACCAGCUUGCUGACCCAGGAGAAAGUUAAACAUUUUUAGGUCCACAUAAAUCACCCAUUGAUGUUGCUGAUACUUUAGCUUUUCCAAGAUUAAAGCAAUGGUUUUAUAUUCUUCUUUCAUUUUUGUUGAGUAAGCAAUUGGUAUUGAACCAAAUUUGUUUCCAUUGUGCAGAAGAACACAUUUUAAACUUCACUUUGAGCUAUCAAUAAAUAGACGCAAGUUAUCUUGAAAAUAUUUAGGAAGACUCAUCUUUUCUAUGAGUCCUCUAAUUUCGUGACAAAAUACAAGAUCCUCUUCUUGAGAGAAGAAGGGUAGCAGAUCCUUUUCUCGUGUAUGGUAGAAAGUAAUUUUGGUUCCUUGUUCCAAUAAAUUUUUGUCCUUCAAUCUGCAAGCAAGUAACUCAGAAGCUUCUUAUGAUAGAUUGAGAUCUCUGGUAAGGUCGUUCAACUUAUCUUGGUUGAAUUGUUGUGGAAUAGAUGCCUUUCCCUCAUAAUCACUGUCAAUUUCAUUAGUAUCAAAAGAAUUAGAAGCACAAUAUUCAUCCUCGCAGAGCUCUGGUAGCUGGAGAAACGUUGGGAUUGGAACUUCCUCUGAGUGAAGAACCGGUCGUCUUGCAGAUAAUAAAUCAGGAUAAGUCCACUUGCUACGGUUGUUUCGAUUGAUUCCAGUAAUAUUUAAUAUGCAGAAAUAACAAUCAUUGAAAUGGUUUCGUGGUUUUCUCCAAACCAUUGGCACGCCGAAUUUCAUACUUUUUCUUUUCCCGGUAGUCCACUGUCGUAAAUGGUUUGUACAAGUUUUACAGACCUGAUGUGGGGCCCAGGUUUUAUCUUGAUCCCCCAGCCUAACACCAAAGUAUGCAAACCCUCUUUGAAAAGUCACUAACUUUUUUUCUGUUUUUUUUUUUAACAUAUAUUCUCCGCAUAUGUCGCAAAACACAUCAGGUGAUUCACACAACUUCUUCUAUUUGAACUCAUUUUAUCUAGAUCUAAAUACAAAAAUGCAAGAACAAUUUACAACACAAUACUAUUUAGGUUAACUUAACAACAACACUUCAGAAAAUAGAAAUAUCACACGACACCAACUUUCAUCUAUUCCGCACGGCAACAACUCUCAUACUAAUCUCAAUUAUAGUUGAUGUUCACUUUUACAGUGUGGUUACUCCACCUAGUGGAUUUUCCUGUUGCAAACAGACCAAUAAACUGAAUAUAUAACAAAUAUAUAGAAUACAGUAACCACACAUUGUCUAUACGAGUUAUAACAUUACUAAAUGGAGUUAAAACUGUUAAUUUCAUGUAAAAUCGCAACUUAAAAAAAUCUCAAAAACUAGAGCUGAUAGAUAAAAACUUCAAUUUCAGAUUCAGCAACAAAAAUAUAGCUAAAAUCAAUUAUUAAAUCUUAGGCGCCAAAAAACUUUUUUUUUUGUAGGCCUGUGUAAUAGCUCAAUAUUGUUCUAUCUAUCCUUCUUUCUUAUAUAUGUUUUCUAUUUUUAGAUAUAUAUUAGUCUUGAAACUUGAAUGUUAGCGUUGAAAAUCAAACAAAUAGUCAUUUAUAAACAAAAUAAAUUUUUAACUGUUAUUCCGUUUACAGUAUCCCAUGUUGUAUUUUAGAAGUCAUCCAGCUAAUGCACGAAAGUUCGACGGAAGUAAACAAAAGAUCAAGUAUGAAGCAUUUUAAAGUUCUCUCUAUUGAACAAUUACUUAUUUUGAGUUUUUUUGUGAAUUUAUUAUUCAAAAGAAUAUAUAAUUCAACUUAAAAAAAAUAUUUAAAAACAUUUAUUACAUUUUU